AAUUGCCUGUCUAAGGAGAUAGCUUGUUUUGAAAGCAGGGGGAAGGUGUUCGAUUCACUUGGCAAUUU
This 68-nucleotide transfer RNA is filed under the name Yininemertes pratensis. RNAcentral's name for it is "tRNA-Ser". It matches the Rfam family "tRNA". Rfam says of the family: Transfer RNA (tRNA) molecules are approximately 80 nucleotides in length. Lineage: Eukaryota; Metazoa; Nemertea; Pilidiophora; Heteronemertea; Lineidae. The record is from RNAcentral.